UAGCACAACGUGUAGGAGACUUAAAAUUGGAACAAUACAGAGAAAAUUAGCAUGGCCCCUACACUAAGAUGACAUGUAAAUUUGUGAAGCAUUCCAAAGCAAA
Molecule: small nuclear RNA, 103 nt
Organism: Chlorocebus sabaeus (green monkey)
Lineage: Eukaryota; Metazoa; Chordata; Mammalia; Primates; Cercopithecidae
Source: Ensembl